Molecule: ribosomal RNA, 254 nt
Filed under: uncultured bacterium
Lineage: Bacteria
Description: partial 16S ribosomal RNA
Rfam family: Bacterial small subunit ribosomal RNA
Source: RNAcentral
UACGUAGGGUGCGAGCGUUAAUCGGAAUUACUGGGCGUAAAGCGUGCGCAGGCGGUCUGUUAAGACCGAUGUGAAAUCCCCGGGCUUAACCUGGGAACUGCAUUGGUGACUGGCAGGCUUUGAGUGUGGCAGAGGGAGGUAGAAUUCCACGUGUAGCAGUGAAAUGCGUAGAGAUGUGGAGGAAUACCGAUGGCGAAGGCAGCCUCCCGGGCCAACACUGACGCUCAUGCACGAAAGCGUGGGGAGCAAACAGG